UGCUGAUGUGAGCUCUCUGUUUCGGGUUCUUAGUGGGUACAGCGACGACCCACAUCUGAGCGUUGUGAGUGAUUCUAGUGGUAAGAAAUCAACGGCUCUGAUUACAAGAGACUUGCUUAAUGGUAGUGGGUCAUCUUCUUCCAAGCUUCCCAACAACUCCCAAGAACUGGAGCUCGACUUACAGGUCCCCAAUUGUUGGAAAUGUGCCCUAAAACCAAUCAUAUGAUGAUACUUUACGGACAUUUCACAUGUUAAACUAAUCUAGUUUAAUAUCAAGGGCAAAGAUUAUUGUUUGAGUCGUCUCAUAUAAAUGUUAUAUGCUUAAACGAUAAGUCCAAGGAAUAUGUGAUUGGGAGAAUGCAAUCUAAAGAAGUUAGAUUCAUGAGACCAUUCUUUCGUAGACACAUCCUAAACGUUCCUGAUCAUAAGAUUGCCAAUUGGGCAUUGACAGUCCGUUAAGAUCAGUACGUGCUGUGUCUUCUCUCAGGGAGAGUGACUAGUCUCGAGUCAUUGAUGUGUGUGACAUCAAGACAAGUACGUAGGUGCUCAAUAGAGAAUGAGUCCACUGAACACGAUCAACGAAGAGUUCUCAUAUUCAUGUCACAUGAGAACUCAUGGUUGGGAUAAUGCAAAGU
Molecule: long non-coding RNA, 635 nt
Filed under: Malus domestica (apple)
Lineage: Eukaryota; Viridiplantae; Streptophyta; Magnoliopsida; Rosales; Rosaceae
Description: long non-coding RNA (MDOM_LNC015465)
Source: RNAcentral